CAAUUUACUAGAAUUAAUCAAGUCUACCACCAUAGCAUGGCCAGAAAAGAUACAUAUAGGAAUAACAAUUUACAAAUAAAAGAAUUCAUAUUUCACAACUUGAGCUCAUAUAAAAUAUUUGCGAUAGUUUCAUUGUAUAACUACCGAUUAAUUAUCAUCACCAAGGUCAACCAUGAAAAUUACACCUGAUUGACUUUAAACUUUGUCAGAAUGGAUUAAAAGAAAGACUGACAUGUACUUCUAUAGGGCAUAACCUGGUUUGAAAUGUAUUAUUCUUGCUUAAAAUUCAAGAUUUUCAGGUCAUAGAAAUGAACUGCAAUAGACUAGUUCAAUUAUUUAUAACUUUAUGCAUGCACUUGAAUAACUUUGUACAAGCCUAAGCCUCAUUCACAUUCAU
This 397-nucleotide unclassified non-coding RNA is filed under the name Hevea brasiliensis (rubber tree). Lineage: Eukaryota; Viridiplantae; Streptophyta; Magnoliopsida; Malpighiales; Euphorbiaceae. The record is from RNAcentral.